Sciurus carolinensis (gray squirrel) is the source of this 2092-nucleotide long non-coding RNA. RefSeq lists it as uncharacterized. Lineage: Eukaryota; Metazoa; Chordata; Mammalia; Rodentia; Sciuridae. The record is from RefSeq and is a predicted model, not a curated record. The transcript is spliced from 8 exons.
UGGGCCUGUGGGCUGGAGAGGAAGGAAAGCAGCCUUCUCAGAUGGCGGUCCGUGGACUGGACUGGGCUCUGGGAAGCGAGAAGAACCAAACAGAGAUGCCCAGAGCAGGGGAGGAAGGGAUCCUGUGUUGCUGCUUCCAGAAGAGGGGCACAAGCUGCGGUCUUCAAGACUGGGAGGCGGGUGAGGGCAUCGGGUGCUCCAGCAGAGCCGGCAGUGACUCGGGACAGGAGCUGGCGGGAUAGGAAGUAGUUUGGAGCCCGCGAGCGAAAUCCAAGCCAGGUCAGGGCCCACUGGGCGAGACUCGCUCUGGGCGCCUAGUCCUGGGGGCGGGGGAGGCCCCCAGCGCUCCAGUCGGAGGGCAUAGCAGGAGGCAGUUCUACUUCCCACUGCUCAGGGCUUGGCCUUUCAUAGGAAACGACUUGUUUUCCAAGGGAUUUUUAAAUCCUCCUGGGCUGUGCUAGGGAGCUCCAGCGACAAUGCUUGGAUCUGUCAUCGUAGCCUUCGAUUUUGAGACCCCAGGACGAAUCCUCAGACUUUAGAGGCCGCAAACCCGUCGAGCGCGCGCGCUCCGCGGCGUCUGGGCGUCGGUGAGGGGCUCUCUCAAGGCGAAAGUGCACAAAAGGUAGCGCGAAUCUCUUCUCAGGCGAUCCGAGAUAAGAGGAAAUGAGAGCGAGGUUUUCUGACUUCCAACUCAUUAGGGACCAGGUUCUCUUUCUUCAAGAUCAGGCACAGAGACUGACUGAAUGGCUCCAAUUAUGAGGAUGUGAAAAUCUAAAUCAGAAUUUACCACUUUGUACUUUGCAUUUUCCAAGGUGUUUGGAAGUGCUUGGAUACAUUUACUUGAGAUAAAGAAUAUUUCUCUGAACUGGAGAAAGAAGCCUUUUUGGGGACCACUUGAUAUUUGUUAUCACAUCUGUAGACCCACUGUCUUGUGGAAAUGGGACAAAGUUCUACGAAGUUCUCAAAGAUGAAAUCUCAUAUAAACAGGACACUCAUAAGACCUGGGAACAAUUUUAGGAGUAGAUUACAACCUUCAAACUUCCUAUUGGCAAGGCUAUUCAGAGUGGCCAUCUCAGGGUUCCCAUGAUGUCUUGGGUAAAGAUAUGAUUUGUCCAUACCUCGAGUUGGCCUGCUUACAUCAUGAAGAGCAUAACAAGUGAUGAGUCUCACAAAGUCCUUCAUCAGGCCCCACACUAAUCCUGCCCCAAGUCAGUGAAUGGUGGCUGGCACAGGUUUGAAGAGCUUACAGGAUUUCUUGUGGUUAGUCAGCUUGGAAUUGUGUUUGAAAACUACAGGCCCUAACCACAGCUGUCAGACUUCAGAUACCAUCUGCUACCCAUUUGCCUCCAGCAUCACCAGCUACCAGAGGAUUAAAGUAAAUUUGAGAGAAUUCUAAAUAGUUUUCCUCCACCACCAUAUUAACUUCAUGUUAAUGUGAACCCAUGAUGUUGAAAAGAAUUUUUUUGGGGGGGGAUUAUCUGGGGACUGGGACUACAGUCAUCUCUUACCACUGAGUACCUGAGAAUUAAUUAUCAUCACAUAUCCACCUGCCCAGGAUUUCUCAAGGUUUAAAAUAUAUUUUCUAAAACACAACAAAUACAUUUAGGAAAAGUCCAACCUGGCACACCUUGCACACAAGAUGUUAAUUAUUCAUACUACAUGAUUGAAGAUUUUGGAAUCAGAGAUUCACCUGCAACAUUUGGAAUACCAGUGGAGGUCUACAUCAACACAGAAUUUAUACAGCAGCUGGUGCUAGUCAAAGCUAAUGAUGGAAUUUCAGUUUAAUAAAAAGACCCCCAACUGAGCACACCAUCUUGAAAAAAGUAUACUUAUCAAACAGCUUUCAAUCAGUUCAAGAGAGACACCUUAAUUGGGAAGAGGAAGAAUUGCAGAGCAGUUUGUCAUCGUGCCAAUUCCGGAUCAAUAACUGCAAGUCUGUUCUUUGAUAGACAUAGCUUUUGCUUCAUAUUAGUAACCACAUCUACAUCCUCUCCAUCUGGAUAAGGAGACCUUUGUAUCAUUUGACAAUGUGUAAUGAUAUCCUCUUUUAAUUCACCUCUGUCGCUCCACAAUAAACACGAACAAAAUUUAA